This is a long non-coding RNA of Rhipicephalus sanguineus (brown dog tick), 1225 nucleotides long. RefSeq lists it as uncharacterized. Lineage: Eukaryota; Metazoa; Arthropoda; Arachnida; Ixodida; Ixodidae. The transcript is spliced from 3 exons. The record is from RefSeq and is a predicted model, not a curated record.
CUGUACCUUGUAACGUUGGUACCGACGACGAUGACCGCGAGUCGUGCAGCUUUCGUUUCGACAGCGUAGUCCGUGCACCGGUGUCCCGUAGCGACUUCGUCGUGACUGCCUCGGAGAACGUCUAGUACUGCCUUUGCUUGAUUGACGGACGUCGAGGGCGAAACAGAGCGAAGGUGCUGCAAUGCGCUGCCUUGCCACGACAAGAGCAACACACUAGGAUGACUAAAGGACGUAACACUUCUGGACGGGAAUUACAUGUUCAAGAAUUGUUUUGAAAUGUACAAGGAAGAUAUUGGCAUUCUCCUUGCGCCAUCAGCUGUUCAACAUCUGCGAGCUGCAAAGGCUCUCCUGUAUGACAAGGAAGCAGUAGACGCGGCAUUCGCAAUGCUCAUUUUAUGUACUUCCAAGGGAUGCGGCCAAAGGACGACCUGCAGAUGUGCGAGUCACGUUUAUGGGAGCUGCAAAAAAGAAUUAAAGUGUAUCCCCAGUGUUUGUUAUAUACUCUUAUUAUACUCUAACAGUAUAUUUCUGAACAAACCAUCUGAAACAUGGCGGAUCGGUGGCACUGCAGAAAGCCAAUGAAUGCUUGUCAAAGCGUGGAAAUACACAAAGCAGCAUACAAACUUGCCACUCGUGUAGCCGUUGCAUCUUUCCCUUGCCCCAAUGAAGCACGCAGCGCAGUGAAGUGGACUUACGAGCUGCUGUCCAAGGACACUGCACAUGCUCAACGUAAAUUUUUCUCGCUUAAAACAAAAAUCACUAUAAUUAAACUUUCAGAAUCGAAUUUCCUUUGUACACCCUUCCAAACAAGUGGAAUUUUAAUUUGACUGCAUCACCAAACUGCAUGUGCCUGAACACAAGUCAUGCAUUUCUUUAACUCACUCUCAAUUCCAAAUAGCGUUACAGAGGAGAGUUGUUAAUACAUGUACAUUAUACAACGUUAUGCAAAGCAGCUUGAAAAGAUUAAUGGUCUGGGUUCUUGGCGACAGAGGCGAGGAGGUGGUUCUAUUCAGAUGCUGUCUUUGGCAGAAUUGAAUCGAAAAAAAAAAAAAAAGGUUCGUCUGGCAAUUUGGCACUUGGAUUUUGAUGUGGUCUCUUCGUAUUUCUGUGUAUAUGGGUGGUGCGACACCCCAUUUACACAUUUUUCUAUGUUUGCACCCCUCAUUCUUCAAAACUUCUCGGUCAUCGACCUCCAUACUUUUUUGACACACUUACUGGCAACUAU